GACGAACGCUGGCGGCGUGCUUAACACAUGCAAGUCGAACGGAAAGGCCCUGCUUUUGUGGGGUGCUCGAGUGGCGAACGGGUGAGUAACACGUGAGUAACCUGCCCUUGACUUUGGGAUAACUUCAGGAAACUGGGGCUAAUACCGGAUAGGAGCUCCUGCUGCAUGGUGGGGGUUGGAAAGUUUCGGCGGUUGGGGAUGGACUCGCGGCUUAUCAGCUUGUUGGUGGGGUAGUGGCUUACCAAGGCUUUGACGGGUAGCCGGCCUGAGAGGGUGACCGGCCACAUUGGGACUGAGGUACGGCCCAGACUCCUACGGGAGGCAACAGUGGAGAAUGUUGCACAAUGGGCGGAAGCCUGAUGCAGCGACGCCGCGUGCGGGAUGACGGCCUUCGGGUUGUAAACCGCUUUCGCCUGUGACGAAGCGUGAGUGACGGUAAUGGGUAAAGAAGCACCGGCUAACUACGUG
This 468-nucleotide ribosomal RNA is filed under the name uncultured bacterium. Its description in RNAcentral is "partial 16S ribosomal RNA". It matches the Rfam family "Bacterial small subunit ribosomal RNA", at positions 28 to 507 of the family's 1533-position model. The record is from RNAcentral.